This 496-nucleotide ribosomal RNA is filed under the name uncultured bacterium. RNAcentral describes it as "partial 16S ribosomal RNA". It matches the Rfam family "Bacterial small subunit ribosomal RNA", at positions 28 to 507 of the family's 1533-position model. The record is from RNAcentral.
GAUGAACGCUGGCGGCGUGCCUAAUACAUGCAAGUCGAGCGAACAGACGAGGAGCUUGCUCCUCUGACGUUAGCGGCGGACGGGUGAGUAACACGUGGAUAACCUACCUAUAAGACUGGGAUAACUUCGGGAAACCGGAGCUAAUACCGGAUAAUAUAUUGAACCGCAUGGUUCAAUAGUGAAAGACGGUUUUGCUGUCACUUAUAGAUGGAUCCGCGCCGCAUUAGCUAGUUGGAAGGUAACGGCUUACCAAGGCAACGAUGCGUAGCCGACCUGAGAGGGUGAUCGGCCACACUGGAACUGAGACACGGUCCAGACUCCUACGGGAGGCAGCAGUAGGGAAUCUUCCGCAAUGGGCGAAAGCCUGACGGAGCAACGCCGCGUGAGUGAUGAAGGUCUUCGGAUCGUAAAACUCUGUUAUUAGGGAAGAACAAAUGUGUAAGUAACUAUGCACGUCUUGACGGUACCUAAUCAGAAAGCCACGGCUAACUACGUG